RNAcentral lists this ribosomal RNA (1077 nucleotides) under Triticum aestivum (bread wheat). RNAcentral's name for it is "partial small subunit ribosomal RNA". The record is from RNAcentral. Lineage: Eukaryota; Viridiplantae; Streptophyta; Magnoliopsida; Poales; Poaceae.
CGAGAGGCCGAGUUGACAGCUCGACACGGAGCACGACAGCAUACUUCGGUUCACCCUGCCGCCUCCGUGGAGCCAGGGGCGAUGUUCAGUUCCUUAGGGGUACCGUGUUUAACUCCCACUUUGCGUAAUGUGCGACUACCCAAGGAUUUCAAGGGACCUCGUAAGGUACCAAAUUACACCGCCGAUUUGCAGCCGGAGGCGUGGGUGGAGAGCUAUGAGAUGGCAAUGGAGAUGUUAGAUGUGGAUGAGGCGGUGUGUGCUAAAUAUUUCACCAUGAUGUUGGAAGGAACAGCUCACACUUGGUUGAAGAGCUUGCCGACCAACUCUAUUGGAUCAUGGGCCGAACUGAAGCACCGGUUUAUCCAGAACUUCAAGGAUACGUGUAAGCAGCCAAUGUCAAUUGUAGAUCUGGCCACUUGUGUCCAAGAGGAAGGGGAGUCCACGACCCGUUGGGUCAAACGGGUCUCGGCGAUUUUGCAUUCAUCAGAUCGUAUCAAUGCAGACACCACAGUGUUAACGUUAGAGGGCAAUUGCCGUUUCAAACCAUUGAAACAGAAGUUGGGAAGGCUCAAACGCCACUGCAACGACAUGUCAACACUCAUGGCCACUUUGGUUAAAUAUGUCGAUUCAGAUAAUACCAAGGAUCCGAAUUUAGAGGAGGACAAACCGGAGAAGGGUAAGAAGAACGGCAAUGCCAAAGGCCAACAACAUAAUCCGGCAGGCCAUGGAAACGUCGGUAAGCGCAAGGCCGACAGUGAUUUGGACUUUGUCGCAAAUACCAACGUGCAGGAGAAUGGCCAGUGCCGUAAAGGCAAGCAGCCCCAGAGGGGUGGAGGUCCAGGCAACAAUUUGGAGUGUUUGUUAAAUCAGCCCUGUCCAAAGCAUGGAUCGAAGGAGAAAUCGGCAUCACAUCUCUGGAAAGAUUGUUAUUCAUGCGGGAUUUCAAGAAUUCCAAUAUGUUCCAAUAUGACAGCGGCCCGCCCGGCGGUUCAGGAGGAGGUUUCCACGGGCCGGGUUACGAAGGUGGUGGUUUCGGUUCAGGGUUUCCAGGCAAUCAAACCGGACACGUCAAUCAAG